AGUUCUUUGACAGAGACUCAGCCGUCGUUUGCUCAUCAAACUCUAAUAGAGACGCAUCCUUUGCCUUUUUCGCGCCGCCUCGAUCAAUCGUCGCCCAAAACUCAGACUGGCUUGCGGCCUCACGCCGCCUCCAACCGCAAAAGCAAACCUAUCAAAGAAGAAACGAAUUUUGAGUGAUGCACAUUGAUGAAGUGAAAGAGGAAUAAGGUUGAAUCAGAGAGAGAGAGAGAGAGAGUCAAUAAUCGAAAAAACAUGCAUGACCACAAAUAUUGAAUCGAGUAAUUUCAUGAAACUGAAGCCCGAUAUUGGAGAUGGGACGUCUUCUUCAAAACCAAGAAUUGAUCCAUCUGCAUCGAAGAAGAAAUUUUAUUAUGGGAUCAAUCAGGAAUCCUGCAACUGAUUCCAAAAAUAGAUUCAUUUUCUGUGGAGGCUCCAAAAUGACGAAGAAAGCAUCCACCCAAACGAUGGAUGAUAAGUAAAUCGUGAAUAGAACCAGAGAGAAGAAAGUGUGUUCGUUGCCUGGCCAGAAAUUUGAUGUCCCCGAAGAGCGGGAGGCAUUGAGAAUAUUUUAGGAAUCAUUAUCCAAACAAAUUUCAAGUGAAAUGGCUGAAUUUUGGUUGAUCGAACACAUCGUGUUGUCACCUAAGAGAGCGAGUUGGAAGAUGAUAGAGGACUUAGAGACCAAAUUUAUGGAAGCUAAUCACAGGUACAUAGAGCAACUAUGUUUUUAAUUAUUGAGCUAUUCUUUUGUUUGCGUAUAUUUACUCAAAUAUCUCUGAUUUAGAGUUUUUAGACUUAAAUAUGUUUGAAAUCUUAAUUUUCGUUGAUCCAAGAUAUUAAUUCAUUUGCUUA
Long non-coding RNA from Salvia miltiorrhiza (redroot sage), 852 nucleotides. RefSeq lists it as uncharacterized. The record is from RefSeq and is a predicted model, not a curated record. The transcript has 2 exons. Lineage: Eukaryota; Viridiplantae; Streptophyta; Magnoliopsida; Lamiales; Lamiaceae.